GAUGAACGCUAGCGGCAGGCUUAACACAUGCAAGUCGAACGGUAACAUUGGUGCUUGCAUCAGAUGACGAGUGGCGAACGGGUGCGUAACGCGUAUGCAACUUACCUCUAAUUAAGGGAUAGCUCAGAGAAAUUUGAAUUAAUACCUUAUAAUAUCUAAGAAUCGCAUGAUUUUAAGAUUAAAGAACUUCGAUUAGAGAUGGGCAUGCGUGAUAUUAGCUAGUUGGUAGGGUAAUGGCUUACCAAGGCAACGAUAUCUAGGGGGUCUGAGAGGAUGAUCCCCCACACUGGUACUGAGACACGGACCAGACUCCUNACGGGAGGCAGCAGUGAGGAAUAUUGGUCAAUGGACGCAAGUCUGAACCAGCCAUGCCGCGUGCAGGAUGAAUGCCCUAUGGGUUGUAAACUGCUUUUAUAUAGGAAGAAACCUUUUUAUUUAUAAAAAGCUGACGGUACUAUAAGAAUAAGCAUCGCUAAC
This 477-nucleotide ribosomal RNA is filed under the name uncultured bacterium. RNAcentral's name for it is "bacterial SSU rRNA". It matches the Rfam family "Bacterial small subunit ribosomal RNA", at positions 28 to 501 of the family's 1533-position model. The record is from RNAcentral.